GUUCUUUCCUGAAGCUUGCCUCUCAGGUACAGAGGCAGUAUUGAUCUUUCAGCUUCUUUGCACCAUGUGCUGCUCUGAGUGUGCCUUGCCAGAUGCUAAUACCUUCAAGCUCCACCUCCUGUUGCUUCAGAGGGAAGCUGUGCUUCCACUGGGGUUUCCAGCCAAAGGGAAAGGGAGGGCAGCAGGGAGCAGCCCUGUGGCAGAAUGGCCAGCUUAGGGUUUUCCAGCCUUCCAGCUGCCUGAGGCCUCAGGAGAUGCAGGCAGCUGAGAGCCAGACCCAUGGCUCACUGUCAGUUGGAAUCGAAAGGAUCUCUGGUUCUGAUAGGCCUGCUUACAUUUCUAGGUGAACUCUGGUCCAGGUCCCAGGUGAGCAGGUCUUGGGGGUGGUUUUUGUGAUGCCCACUUUGAUUUUCACACCUUCAGUUCUGUACUUGGUAGGAUUUGCUGGCUGUGCUCUAACUUUUCUUCUUCUUACAGGAUAGCACUGGCUUUCACAGGGAUUAGCCUUCUGGUGGUGGGCACAACUGUGGUGGGAUACUUGCCAAAUGGGAGGUUUAAGGAGUUCAUGAGUAAACAUGUUCACUUAAUGUGUUACCGGAUCUGCGUGCGAGCGCUGACAGCCAUCAUCACCUAUCAUGACAGGGAAAACAGACCAAGAAACGGUGGCAUCUGUGUGGCCAAUCAUACCUCGCCGAUCGAUGUGAUCAUCUUGGCCAGCGAUGGCUAUUAUGCCAUGGUGGGUCAAGUGCACGGGGGACUCAUGGGUGUGAUUCAGAGAGCCAUGGUGAAGGCCUGCCCACACGUCUGGUUUGAGCGCUCGGAAGUGAAGGAUCGCCACCUGGUGGCUAAGAGACUGACUGAACAUGUGCAAGAUAAAAGCAAGCUGCCUAUCCUCAUCUUCCCAGAAGGAACCUGCAUCAAUAAUACAUCGGUGAUGAUGUUCAAAAAGGGAAGUUUUGAAAUUGGAGCCACAGUUUACCCUGUUGCUAUCAAG
This 994-nucleotide small RNA is filed under the name Pongo abelii (Sumatran orangutan). Its description in RNAcentral is "retained intron". Lineage: Eukaryota; Metazoa; Chordata; Mammalia; Primates; Hominidae. The record is from RNAcentral.